CAGCCUCUACCGCUGGUUCCCCCCCCAUCCCCGCCGCCUCCCUCAGCGCGGCGGGGUUCGAGCUGCCGCCCGCUGCAGGCAGCGCCGCCGUGAGGGGCUGCCCCGCCACCGGGCCCUGCCGUUACCUGGGAGAGCCGGGGAAGACCUAGAGAGGGGGAAUCAGACCCUGUGCCCAGGACCUGGGUGGAAGUGCUCCAUGAUCACUGCUGUGUCAGUGAUAAGUAUCAGUGUACACUGCAUGGCACCCCACGAUGCUGAAGAGGAGACAGUGCUGAGGACCUGACCAAAUACACCUAUCCCAGACCUGACCUGCUUUGUGCUGGAGAUCCUGUCACUUUGCUGAAGUGAUGCAGAGGACAAAACCGUGAUGGAGGUCAAGUGCAGCAAUACGUGGCAAUGCACAGCCUGGACUAUGAAGGGAGCUAUUUUUAACCUGGAUGUGUUCUGUGAUUUGUUUCCCACACAGCAUUGAAACUGGCACAGCUGAGGGGUUGGCGGCAAUGAAGUUGCACCAAGAAGUCCAAGAGCAAUCAGGAGAGACUUCAGGGCUUCAGGAUGGUUGCUUAAGGGGUCAGGAGCACAGCAGUUCCUGAGGGAGAACAGACUGCAUUGUUUGUGAGCUUCAAUCCAGGUCAAGCAGGCCGGAUCUUCCACAGAGAAGUUGCUGACUUUGGCCCCAAAAUAUCAUUGUUAAGGAGCCAGCAGAGGCAACCCAGCUCCCAGGUCCUCCAGGAACCUCAUGGGACUGGCAAGAAAAGAAAAAAACACCUCAGGUGUGUUGGCCCCCGAAGAGGAGUUUUCAGCACGUAAUGUGUGGCCACACUGCCUGGCCUGUUUCCCAGCACUUAGUGAAAGGAAAGAGAUACAUCUUAUACAGUUGUUUCUCAUCUAGACUCCUGAGCACCUAACCAGAAAAGUCAGCACAACUUUCUCACUUACACUGAUGUCAGACUAGGGGAGUGAGUCUUGUGGCAAAAGGGACCAUCUGCAUCUCAAACUAAUUACCUGUUUUGAAAAGUGAAUAUACAAAGUGCAUUGCAGGCAGCAAAGGCAUCGCUGUGCUUUUACGAGAAAAAUCAAGAGCGCAAGAGCACAUUUUGAAGUGAAAGGCACAUUGUCAAUAAUUAUGCACGGUCUGGGUUUGUGCUGUCUCGCCACUCAUCCUUGGAUCCUACACCGAGUCCUGACUUUCUUAUGGCACAGAUAAUAACUUAAAAGAAAGAAACCCAACAGAAUUUCCACGAUCUAUAUCUACAGCAUCACACAUGGAAGACAUAACAUUUGAUGGUAAAUUUUUGCUUUGACGUUAUAGUAGAAGUUAAGGGAAAAGGUGUCAUCCUUGGCCUAGAGUUUCAUAAGUGCCACAGGCAGAUGGGCUCUUUUAAACCUUCUUCUCCUCUUCCAAAAGGAGAAACUCACAAUCUGGACUCAAUUGAACCUUAAAGCCAUAAAAUUCCAGGUUCCAAUAAAUCUUCAUUUUAUAAAAACACAUCCAGCAUAUAUCAUAACAGAAACCAUAAAAGAAAUUAAACAUGUGUGGGUCACAUACUCUGUUGGAGGCUCCUUAAUAGUUUUGCAAAAUCAGUGGAAUAAUGAGGUGCAGUUUUGCUCUAUGAAGUUAUGGUGUCUCCCUGCAGCACAGUUGGGCUGCCCAGGGUGCCCACCCAGAACAUAAGCAAACACAUGGGGAAGGGGCUGGCAGCUCCACUCCCACAUCUUCUCCAUCCUUCCCAGUGCAGAUAAGCUGGGCUGCAGCCAGCAUCCCCAAAGGCCCAAGGCCUGCGCUUGGCUUCAGAUGCUGGAGCGAUGGCCUGCUCCACACAGCCCAGUGGGCAUCCCACACAUCUAUCCUUUGGGGGACCCCGCAAAGUGGGCACUUGCUCCACCAGCCCCAGUGAGUGCCAAGGCCAUGGUGAACAAAAGCACUGUAAAAUCAAAGAAAAGGAUUUUAAAAAGCGAUAUCUGGGGGGAGGAUAUGCCUGCCUGUUCCUAUGAAGUGGAAAUGCAAAGCAAAACCAAAAGGAGCUGGGAUCACACUGCAGAGACACGGACUUUAACAAGGUCUUUUUCAGGGCUUUAAAAAAAUUAUUCAUGUGAUGUAAUCUUGACAUUUCCUGUCUCACUGGUGAGUUCCUCGGAUCAAACACCCGGAACGCCGGCAGCUUGUCACCACCUCGUGCAGCUCCUAUUACCCGCGGCAUCCCAUGGGACACAGGAGGAGAGAGGCGCAGGGGUCUGGGACAGCAGGCAGCACCCUGCACCCCUCUGCCUGUGCUCCUCCUUGCCCUAGCUGGGUGAUACACUGAACACACACCUUCCUUUUUAGAAAUUCCCCUUAAUUUUGAGGGUUGAGGUUUAAGGCUCCCUGCCAGAGGUCCUGCACCCAGAAGCCUUGGCAAGGAGACUAAAGCCUGUGAGGACCCUGGCAAGGACAGACCCUCAAACUUUAUAACAAUAUAUAAUCUAUGUUUUUCAAUCUAUCGUAUAAUGGCAAUUAUACAAAAUUCCAGGUGACUUGCUGGAGUAGUCAUGACCAAGUCCAAAAGUAAGCAAAGCUCUAUGAACUUUGGGAAUCUUCUCAUCAUGAAGAUUUGUCAAGGUUCUGCUAGCAGAAGCUGAAACUAGAAAGUUAGGGGGGAAAGGGGAAAAAAAAUCCAGCACACCUUAUUAGCAUUUUGUCAAGCAUUGGAACAGGCUUCCCAGGGAAGUGGUGGAGUUGCCAACCCUGGAGGUAUUUAAAGAUGUGUGUUGUGGCACUUUUUGGCAGUUCUGGGUUAACAGUUGGACUCAAUGGUCUUAAAGGUCCUUUCCAACCUAAGUGAUUCUAUGAUCUGAUGAUUUUAUGGAAGUAUUUCAGUUCAUAUUCAGAGCUCAUUUAACAUCUUAUUCUCCUGAAUUCGAGGCCUCAGGGAAAAUGCCUAUAAGAGCAAUGGGAUAUCUGUCCAGGAGAUUCAAAACUGUGGGUUGGAGCAGGAUUUCCUAGCAGUGGAAUGUGACAAGACUGCCAUGGAAUCUCAAUACCAGGAUGAGCAGUGGGUGGGUAGGUGGUGCAUCCUGGGUUUCCAAAAGGAGCCCCAAGAGCCCCACUCAACACCUGCCACUCAUGGGGAUGGGGGGGACAAUGGGGCCAUGUGGAUGAUGGACCGGUUGGGCUGGCAGGGAUGCAGUGGGGGAAAGUCCAGGAGUCAGGUCAUCUUGUACCAUUAUCUCUGCAAUUCUCUGAAUAGCCAGCACCACAAGCAUCCCUGCAUUUUCCAUCAACCCCUGGAAAUGGAAUACAUUAAAUCUGGCAGCUCAGUUACAACAACAAAAUAUGAAAGCACAGUCUUACUUACGCCCCGCUCUGACCACCACCCCCAGAAGUGCCGCUGGUAUAGGUAACAUUUUGCAGUUCCUGGUCUCAGAGUACCUGCUUCGAGUCACAGAAUCACAGAGCAUGUUGAGCUGGAAGGGACCUAGCAGG
Molecule: long non-coding RNA, 3463 nt
Organism: Lepidothrix coronata (blue-crowned manakin)
Lineage: Eukaryota; Metazoa; Chordata; Aves; Passeriformes; Pipridae
Exons: 8
Source: RefSeq, a predicted model, not a curated record